ACAAAGUUCAGCUGGAGUUUUCCUUCUCCCUGCAGCUUUCCCAGUGCCUCCAGCAGCCCUCCUCAAGGACCCCUGUGAGGCCAGGCAGAAAUGGCUUGGCAGAGGACCCAGCGAGCCCAGAGGGAUUUUGCCGCUGCUUCCUCUACCCCUGUAUUUCACUCAGCUCUCUAAAUUGACUCAGCUCCAGAACCAUAAUUAUCAUGUUAUCUAGACCUGAUACAUUGUAGAUGAAGAAACAUGUCGACAGAGCCACUAUCUGCCCAACAUCUGAUAGGUAGUCAUAGUCACAGUGGAACUGAGACUAAGGUUUCCAUUUUUAUUUGACUAUGCUUCUUCCCAAGGCUAGUGUGAGAAACACCAACGGCAGGCCCAUCUCAGAUCUUCACUAUGGCAACUUAUGCAAGAAACUGUUGAAUUAGACCCGUUUCCUAUAGAUGAGAAACCAUACAAGCUGUGGUAUUUAUGAGCCUCCAUUUCUUAUACUACUGCAGUGAACCAACAUUGGAUGUGAAAAUUGCCUUUUGUCAGGUGUGUGUUCCUUACAGGUAAAACAAGGGAUUCGAU
RNAcentral lists this small RNA (564 nucleotides) under Pan troglodytes (chimpanzee). RNAcentral describes it as "processed transcript". Lineage: Eukaryota; Metazoa; Chordata; Mammalia; Primates; Hominidae. The record is from RNAcentral.